Molecule: ribosomal RNA, 463 nt
Filed under: unidentified nematode Sourhope farm
Lineage: Eukaryota; Metazoa; Nematoda
Description: SSU rRNA
Rfam family: Eukaryotic small subunit ribosomal RNA
Source: RNAcentral
UGUAAGCACAUGCCUUAAAACGGUAAAGCCGCGAAUGGCUCGGUAUAACAGCCACUGUUUAUUAAACUCUAGUAAUCUACUUGGAUAACUGUGGCAAUUCUAGAGCUAAUACAUGCACGCAGGCUCGGACCUUUUGGGAAGAGCGCAUUUAUUAGACCAAAACCAAUCGGGCUUCGGCCUGUGUUUUGGUGACUCUGAAUAACUCAGUCGAUCGCACAGUCUUAGUACUGGCGACGUAUUUUUCAAAUGUCUGCCUUAUCAACUUUCGAUGGUAGGUUAUACGCCUACCAUGGUUAUAACGGGUAACGGAGAAUUAGGGUUCGACUCCGGAGAGGGAGCCUGAGAAAUGGCUACCACAUCCAAGGAAGGCAGCAGGCGCGCAAAUUACCCAAUCCCAGAACGGGGAGGUAGUGACGAAAAAUAACGAGGUAAUCCACUUUGUGGCUUGCCAUCGGAAUGGGCA